AAAACUUAUACUGCUUCGUGCCGCUUUACAAAUUUAUAGUUUCAACGGUAGGCGAAAUUUGAAAAUACGGCUUGGCUUUUGACACAAUCCCUUACACAGACUUAAAACAUAUUCGUCCAUAAAUUAUUAUUGGACUUGUGUUUAUAAUGUAAAUUUGUGUAAAUGUAUAAAUGUAAAUAUUAUAUAUGUAGUUAUACCUUAAAUUAGUUUCAUAUUAUCUUAUAAUUAUAUUCAACUAAUAUUCAUCAUUAUUACUUAUAAUUCAUGUAUAAUAUAUUUCUUAUAACGUAUAUGAGAUUCAUAUUUUAGUAUUAUAUCAUAAAAGUUUAUUAUUAAAAAUAAGGGGCUAAGCUUGAUCUUCAUUGGAACAAGAAUAUUAUCAUUAUAAGACUUGGCUUCGGCCUUUCAUGCGAACCUAUAUGUAUAUGAAGAAAAUGAAACAUGAAGAACACGAAAUACUACUUUUAUGGGAAAUUGUACUAUUUAUGUUUGAAGAUGAAGAUGAUAUAAAGACUUAGCUUGACUUUGAACAAGCUGUGUAAAGUGAAGAAUAGAAAAAUAAAAAUGAAGACUUGGCUGUAUGGGCUUUUGACCCCUUUGCCUGUCCAGAUGGACGAACAGAACCAAAAAAAAAUGUUUAUUAUUUUCUAAGCCGCCAUCGCUUUGCUUAUUGUUGUUGUUUGGUGUUCGUUGCGUGUUGAGUAUAUAGUUUAAACUGAUUUCAGUUUAUUUCCUUUCUUGAUCAACUUUGACUUUUUGGCUUGUUUCUGGACUCCGAUUAUCUCCGUUUUAUAUAUUCUGACCUUGACUUCGUUUGGAUUCCGACAUUUAUCGUUUUAUUGUUGACCUGGCUUAAUCACUGGACCUUCCGAUUUUUGCUUGCUUUGCUUACUAAAUUGAGUACAAUGGCUGCAGAUAGAAAAUGUUGUAUUCCAGGAUGUGAUAACACUCGUAAGAGUAGUGUCUUGCAUAAAUUUCCAAAUCCUCAAAAUGACUGCAAAUGUUUCCGGACAUGGACUUUUUCCAUUGGAGGAAAUAUAUUUGCCCUAGAUGAUGUAUAUAAUUAUCGCAGAGUAUGUCACUUGCAUUUUGAAGAAAGAUAUUGGACCAGAAGUAAAAUGCUGAGCAAGAAUGCAGUGCCCACUCUAUAUGUAAAAGGUUUUGUAGUUCGGAAACCUUUGGCUGAUACAAUGAAAAAAAAAUUAUAAUAUGGUUGAGUGUAAUCUAGAAUCUACUCCAGCAUCAACAUCUGGAUCCGUCCCAGUUGCAAUAAAUUUGCAAGCUACAUCCUCCCGAAUAGAUGUGAAAAGUAGGCAUCACAAAAUAACUUCAUCUUCAUUUAAAGUUAAUUGUCUACAAAAAAAGAUUGAGAAACUUACAACAAAAUAUGAAAAAUAUGCUUUAAAAAUCAAGAAAGCAUUAAAACUUAAAAUAAGACAUUUCAAGACACAUAAAAAAAAAUUACUCGUUUAGCUGCCAUUUUCACUGCUUUACAGUUUAGGGAAAUAAGAAAAGAAAAGAUGGGUAGAACAUUUACAGAGGAAUAAAAAAUAAUGACACUAUCCAUUUAUAAGCUAGGCCCUCGAUGUUACAGAUUUAAAAAAAAUAUAUUUAUAUUACCUAAUGGUGCAAUCACGAAAAGAUUCCGAAGAUGAAACUAAAACUGUCACAGAUUUUUAGCCAGACUGUUGGGAUGACUAUGGGUUUCCUAGCAGAAAAAGGAUUAUUGCCUGCUAAUUGUCAAGAAACAGCAGAUAUCAUAAUAUUUUUUGAUGAAUUAUUUGACUCAACGAAUGGUAGUUACAUAAAUUCAUCAAAAAGAAGUGGAAACCAUUAUUGCAAACAUUAAAACCAAAUUCACUACACAAUCAAAUUUGGACUAAGGCUAAACAAAUUUUAAAAUCAAUGAAAUUCACUUCUAAGAAUGGAAAAGUUUGUGUAGUGCCAACCUUAUCUAAUUGGUUGCAUACAAUUGAAAAUAUGGAUUGCCUAUGUAAUAAAUUGUUCAAUGAAUACAAUUUCAAGUCAAUAUGGUGUAGAUAUUUCAAUCAGGAAAAUUUUUUUUGGUAGAAUCAGUAGUCAUGGCUACCGAAACAAUUCUCCCACAUGUGCGGGCUUUGAAGCAGCGUUCACAUCAUUACUUGUUAAUAAUUUAAGCAGCAGUUACUCGCCAGAAUCUAAUUGUGAAGAGGAUUCCUGACAUGUACUUAAUUGUAUAAGGAAUUUAUUUUUCACACAAACUUCUAAUAAUAGUAAUCCUUCAGAUAUUGAAUUCAACCAUUUAAUUAAUGAUGAUUUUAUAGUUGAUUUAAAAAUCCAAAAGAGAGACCCACAAAUUAUUGCAGCCUUACAAUAUGUAACAGGGUACAUUUUGCGGCAAUGCCAUAUAAAAUUAUUUAAAUGCCAUAUAAAAUUAUUUAAAUGCCAUAUAAAAUUAUUUAAAAGUUGCACAUAUUGUGCAAAGAAAAUUUGUAUGAUAAAGAGAACUCCACUGAAUAUUUAAAAGUACAAGACUUCAAUCAAAAUAAGGCAUAUCCAACUUAUCCUUUGGAAGAGUUAGUGAAUACUUUUUCAAUAAUUCAAGAUAUAGUGCAUCAUAUAAUAAAAACAAAUUCAUCAAUGGAUAACAUUCAAAAUUAUAUUAAAGUUAUUUUGCAUGCAAGGAUAAAGAAUGGUUAUUUAAAAUACAAAGAGCAUAGUACCAAAUUGACUGACAAUAAAAUACUUCGAGGAGCAAUUUCGACGCACGAUAAGGAGGAUAUAAUGCAAACAUUCGCUGUACAGUAUGACAAUAAAAGAAGAAGGAAAUAA
Molecule: long non-coding RNA, 2811 nt
Organism: Leptidea sinapis
Lineage: Eukaryota; Metazoa; Arthropoda; Insecta; Lepidoptera; Pieridae
Exons: 6
Source: RefSeq, a predicted model, not a curated record